This 566-nucleotide ribosomal RNA is filed under the name Lodderomyces orthopsilosis. RNAcentral describes it as "Candida orthopsilosis partial large subunit ribosomal RNA". It matches the Rfam family "Eukaryotic large subunit ribosomal RNA", at positions 62 to 643 of the family's 3401-position model. The record is from RNAcentral. Lineage: Eukaryota; Fungi; Ascomycota; Pichiomycetes; Serinales; Debaryomycetaceae.
AAACCAACAGGGAUUGCCUUAGUAGCGGCGAGUGAAGCGGCAAAAGCUUCAAAUUUGAAAUCUGGCACUUUCAGUGUCCGAGUUGUAAUUUGAAGAAGGUAUCUUUGGGUCUGGCUCUUGUCUAUGUUUCUUGGAACAGAACGUCACAGAGGGUGAGAAUCCCGUGCGAUGAGAUGUCCCAGACCUAUGUAAAGUUCCUUCGAAGAGUCGAGUUGUUUGGGAAUGCAGCUCUAAGUGGGUGGUAAAUUCCAUCUAAAGCUAAAUAUUGGCGAGAGACCGAUAGCGAACAAGUACAGUGAUGGAAAGAUGAAAAGAACUUUGAAAAGAGAGUGAAAAAGUACGUGAAAUUGUUGAAAGGGAAGGGCUUGAGAUCAGACUUGGUAUUUUGUAUGUUACUCUCUCGGGGGUGGCCUCUACAGUUUACCGGGCCAGCAUCAGUUUGGGCGGUAGGACAAUUGCAAAGAAAUGUGGCACUGCCUCGGUAGUGUGUUAUAGUCUUUGUCGAUACUGCCAGCCUAGACUGAGGACUGCGGCUUCGGCCUAGGAUGUUGGCAUAAUGAUCUUAA